Long non-coding RNA from Alligator sinensis (Chinese alligator), 421 nucleotides. RefSeq lists it as uncharacterized. The record is from RefSeq and is a predicted model, not a curated record. NCBI's taxonomy places the organism in Eukaryota, Metazoa, Chordata, Crocodylia, Alligatoridae. The transcript is spliced from 3 exons.
AGCACAAGGCUUUGAGGAUUUGGCUCCCUAGUAAAAUUGCCCAUAGCAAAGUAUAUGCCUAUUGGCUUUGGUGUGGUUCAUCCAGCUUUACAUCCAAGUAAUUGCAGAAUUGCGCCCCAAGUCUUAAAAUAAUGUCCCGGCUUUCACCAGCUGGAAAAUGAAUUGAAGAUCAAACCAGCAGUCUGGUGACCUCCUGCUGCUCAGACAACAGUAAUUCAGCAGCUAAACAUCAGCACUUUCAUCAGAUCCCUUUCCAGGAACGCACGAGACCGGACAGUACAAAGGAAUCUGUAACGCGGCAACUGAGCUUGGAGGAGUAGGACAGUCAGAGCCGAGACUGCCUUGGGAUUCAGCAGGGGCUCUGGGCUGUUUCUCUUUAUUUCUCAGCCAGCGCACGCGGCAGGCGGCGGCAGAGCGCAGG